This 253-nucleotide ribosomal RNA is filed under the name uncultured bacterium. Its description in RNAcentral is "partial 16S ribosomal RNA". It matches the Rfam family "Bacterial small subunit ribosomal RNA", at positions 524 to 776 of the family's 1533-position model. The record is from RNAcentral.
UACAGAGGGGGCAAGCGUUGUUCGGAAUUACUGGGCGUAAAGGGCUCGUGGGCGGCCAACUAAGUCAGACGUGAAAUCCCCAGGCUUAACCUGGGAACUGCGUCUGAUACUGGAUGGCUUGAAUUCGGGAGAGGGAUGCAGAAUUCCAGGUGUAGCGGUGAAAUGCGUAGAUAUCUGGAGGAAUACCGGUGGCGAAGGCGGCAUCCUGGACCGAGAUUGACGCUGAUGAGCGAAAGCUAGGGGAGCAAACGGG